CGACUCUUUCACCAGUCGGGUAUACCUCUCUCCUCUCUCUCGUGUUAUGAUUUAGAAUAAAGGAUUUUAACCCAGCGGCCGAUUUGAGUCAUUUCUUCGUCUGGUAGCUCCCUAGGACCAUCACUUGCAACGAAUGGAGUGGGGUGGCUAAAGAUCUUCCUGCUCGUUGUCACCAUCAAUCUCCAUAUGUGAAGUUAGUUCCUUUUGAAUCUGUGGACAGUGGUAGGAAGUUUUUGGCACGUGCAGAGAAGUAUGCAUAAAAUGGCAGAAGCAGGUCUUUCCAGGCAUAGAGAUUGAUACUAGCCAGCCGCCUAUGGUUUUCAAGACCCAGUUGUACACACUGACUGGUGUACCCCCGGAACGGCAAAAAAUUAUGGUGAAGGGUGGAAUAUUGAAGGAUGAGACAGAUUGGUCUACUUUGGGACUUAAAGAUGGUCAAAAGUUGAUGAUGAUAGGUACGGCUGAUGAAAUUGUGAAAGCUCCAGAGAAAGGCCCUGUGUUUGUUGAAGAUUUACCAGAAGAAGAGCAAGCGGCUGCAUUGGGGCAUACUGCUGGUCUCUAUAACUUGGGGAAUACAUGUUACAUGAAUUCCACUCUUCAGUGUCUGCAUUCUGUUCCAGAGCUUAAGUCAGCAUUACUGAGUUAUUCAGAUAACGUGAGGGGCAAUGGGGUGGAUCAAGCAUCCCAUAGUUUAACAGUUGCAACUCGUAAUACUUUCGGAGAGCUUGAUCAAAGCGUUCGACCAGUUGCACCUCUUCACUUCUUACAGAUGCUGCGGAAAAAAUACCCCCAAUUUGCUCAACAGCAAAAUAAUGUUUACAUGCAGCAGGACGCAGAGGAGUGCUGGACACAGCUGAUCUAUACGCUUUCUCAAACACUUACAUCAGAAGCAAGUGAACCUACUGCUGCUCAGAUGAAGGAACUUUUCGGGAUUGAUCUUGUGAGCAGGGUACACUGUGCAGAAAGUGGUGAGGAGAGUUCAGAGGCAGAGUCGGUUUAUUCUCUGAAGUGCCAUAUAUCUCAUGAUGUAAACCACCUUCAUGAAGGACUGAAGCAUGGUUUGAAGACAGAACUUGAGAAGGUUUCCCCAUCACUGGGCCGGACUGCUAUUUACACAAGAGAGUCGAGAAUAAAUGAGUUGCCUAGGUACUUGACUGUGCAGUUUGUUCGUUUCUUUUGGAAAAGGGAGUCAAACCAAAAGGCGAAGAUUUUACGUAAAGUGGAUUACCCUCUGGAGCUUGAUGUCUAUGACUUCUGCUCGGAUGAGUUGAAACUAAAACUUCAAACUCCUCGACAGGUGCUGAGAGAUGCAGAAAGUGCCAGGUUUGGUUUGAAAGUAGAGGUGAAAACAAGCAGCUCACAGAAUAUCGAGGGGUCAUCAACUAGUGCUGGGGAAUCAUCUAGCAUGGACAUUGACAAAGCUGAUUCUUCUGUGCCAAAGAAACAAUUAACUGGCAUCUAUGAUUUAAUUGCUGUCUUGACACACAAGGGAAGAAGUGCAGAUUCUGGCCACUACGUUGGCUGGGUUAAGCAAGAUGAUGGAAAAUGGAUUGAGUUUGAUGACGACAACCCAAGCAUACGGAAGGAGGAAGAGAUUUUGAAACUAUCUGGUGGAGGCGACUGGCACAUGGCAUAUAUCUGCCUUUACAAAGCUCGUGUUAUCUGAACCUGAGUUGAUAAGUUCUCAGCCGAAUUUGCUUUAUAUUUCCAAAGUUGUGUGCAUUCCUUGCCUGUUUUUGUGUGCCACAUGAGCGGAUGUAUUAAAGUAUUGAUGAAUUUUCCAGUUUGGUUCAAAUGAAGUGAUCAGUGUCCAUUCUGAUGUUCCUUGUCUACUAGAAUAUUUAUCAGCACUCAACAAAUAUGGAGAAAGAUUUGUUUGAUUUUUUAUUUAAACAUUAUUUAUUUCCUGGAAUA
Molecule: ribosomal RNA, 1914 nt
Filed under: Triticum aestivum (bread wheat)
Lineage: Eukaryota; Viridiplantae; Streptophyta; Magnoliopsida; Poales; Poaceae
Description: partial small subunit ribosomal RNA
Source: RNAcentral